GGAGCCUACGGGGGGCAGCAGUGGGGGAUAUUGCACAAUGGGGGAAACCCUGAUGCAGCGACGCCGCGUGGGCGAAGAAGUAUUUCGGUAUGUAAAGCCCUAUCAGCAGGGAAGAAAAAAGACAGUACCUGUAGAAUAAGCUCCGGCUAACUACGUGCCAGCAGCCGCGGUAAUACGUAGGGAGCAAGCGUUAUCCGGAAUUAUUGGGUGUAAAGGGUGCGUAGACGGGACAGCAAGUUAGUUGUGAAAGCCCUCGGCUUAACUGAGGAACUGCAACUAAAACUAUUGUUCUUGAGUGCAGGUGA
Molecule: ribosomal RNA, 305 nt
Filed under: uncultured bacterium
Lineage: Bacteria
Description: bacterial SSU rRNA
Rfam family: Bacterial small subunit ribosomal RNA
Source: RNAcentral